This 1188-nucleotide ribosomal RNA is filed under the name Triticum aestivum (bread wheat). Its description in RNAcentral is "partial small subunit ribosomal RNA". The record is from RNAcentral. Lineage: Eukaryota; Viridiplantae; Streptophyta; Magnoliopsida; Poales; Poaceae.
AACUGCCGCGUCCCCUUCGCCACAUUUCUCGAGCACGCCAACCAACAUCCCCAGCUCAACGAGCGCAGCAUCCGGUUCAUGACGCGGUUGAUGGAGCGCUCGGGGAUCGGUGAGCAGACCUGUCUGGCCCCGGCGCACCACUACGUUGGGACGCACAAAUAUUGCAGCGUUGACGCCGCCCGCGCAGAGUUCGAGCUUGUGGCUUUCUCAGCCAUCGACGACCUGCUCGCCAAGACCGGCAUCGCCCCCGACGCCAUCGACAUACUCAUCGUCAACUGCAGCUUGUUCUGUCCCACGCCCUCGUUGGUCGACAUGAUCAUAAACAAGUACAAGCUGCGGAGCGACAUCCGUGGCAUGCACCUCGCCGGCAUGGGAUGCAGCGCGGGGAUGAUCUCCGUGGGGCUCGCGAGGGAACUCCUCCAGGUCGCUCCCCAGGGCGCGCACGCACUGGUCGUCUCGACGGAGACAAUCACGCCAAACUACUACCUCGGGGCCGAGCGCGCAAUGCUCCUGCCCAACUGCCUCUUCCGCAUAGGCGGGGCGGCCGCGCUGCUGUCGACAUCGUCGGCAAAGGCCCGGUUCCGCCUGAAGCACGUCGUGCGCACGCUCACCGGCGCUGAGGACAGUUCGUACCAGUGUGUGUUUCAGGAGGAGGACGGAGAGGGCCACCGGGGGAUCAACCUCAACAAGGACCUGAUGAACAUCGCCGGCAACUCGCUCAAGGCCAACAUCACCGCAAUUGGGCCACUCGUCCUGCCGGCCAGGGAGCAGCUUAUGUUCGUCUUCUCCUUCAUCGCACGGAAGGUGAUCGGCAAGAGAGUGAAGCCGUACAUCCCCGACUUCCGCAGGGCGUUUGAGCACUUCUGCAUCCACGCCGGUGGCCGCGCGGUCAUUGACGAUCUGCAGAAGAGCCUUAGCCUUUCCGACGAGCAGGUGGAGGCAUCACGCAUGACGCUGCACCGGUUUGGAAACAAGUCGAGUAGCUCGCUUUGGUACGAGCUGGCCUACAUCGAGGCCAAGGGCCGCAUGCGCAAGGGCGACCGCGUGUGGAUGAUCGGCUUCGGAUCUGGAUUCAAGUGCAACAGUGCGGCGUGGGAGUGCAUCGAGCCUGCGCGCAACGUCCAUGGGCCGUGGGCAACGUCCAUCCACAGAUAUCCGGUGGAUGUUCCUGAUGUUCUCAAGCAUUAA